AUACGUAGGGAGCGAGCGUUGUCCGGAAUUACUGGGUGUAAAGGGAGCGUAGGCGGGACUGCAAGUCAGAUGUGAAAUACCGGGGCUUAAACCCGGAGCUGCAUUUGAAACUGUGGUUCUUGAGUGAAGUAGAGGCAAGCGGAAUUCCUGGUGUAGCGGUGAAAUGCGUAGAUAUCAGGAGGAACACCGGUGGCGAAGGCGGCUUGCUGGGCCUUUACUGACGCUGAGGCUCGAAAGCGUGGGUAGCAAACAGGAUUAGAUACCCUGGUAGUCCACGUUGUAAACGAUGAUUACUAGGUGUGGGGGGACUGACCCCUUCCGUGCCGCAGUUAACACAAUAAGUAACCCACCUGGGGAGUACGGCCGCAAGGUUGAAACUCAAAUGAAUUGACGGGG
RNAcentral lists this ribosomal RNA (396 nucleotides) under uncultured bacterium. RNAcentral describes it as "partial 16S ribosomal RNA". It matches the Rfam family "Bacterial small subunit ribosomal RNA", at positions 523 to 918 of the family's 1533-position model. The record is from RNAcentral.